UCCAAAUAACAGAGACCAGUUGGAUACACUCUGUAUAUUCCGGCUAAGAUGCGCGGCGCGCGCAUUUGCAGGGCAUCAAAGCCUUGAAUCUCAAUUCUACCGACGCCGACGGUGAGAACCGGCCGCAGAGGAGAACACAGGGAUAGAGAGACUCUUCGCUAUGGUGGAGGAUGACGACGAUUGGGGGGAUUUCGUCGACCAUUCCUCUCAGAUCGGCGAUGGUUUCGAUCUCUCCGGUGGACUCUCCUGUGCCCGGGCUUCUCCCAAUUCAAACACCUCCUCCGACAUGUCCCCGAAGAUUCAGUGGGCGACGUCUCAGGGGGCUAUUCCGCUUUCCAUUUUUGGGGAGGAGGAAGAGGAGGAGGAGGAGUUUGGAUCCGGUGUAGUUGGUUCUAGUGUUGGGUUUGGAGGAAUUUCGUCUGUUGGGAAAGAGAGUGGUUUGGCGAAGAAGGGAGGGGGUUUGGGUGUUGGGGUUCGGAUUGAUGAUUUGAUGGCGAAUUUGUAUAGUCCAAAUCAGCAGAUCAAAGCGGGAAGUCCAUUGAAAUCGAACAUGGAACUCGAUUCUUUGAACUUCAAUACUUCGUUGGAUUUUAAAUCUAGUGACUCCGAUUUGAAUGUCAAUGGGGUACAUUCUUAUGCUAGCCAGACCAAUUUUGAAAGCGAUAUUAGAGGUUUUGAAGCUGAUGGAGUGAAGCCUAAUGGGUUCCAUUCUUACUUGACAAACGUCGGUGAGAGCAAUGAGGAUGAUAGUGAGGAGGUGGCCGAUUUUGAUGGCUGGGAAUUUAAGGCUGCAGAGUCAGCUACGCCAACGGGUGAUGCUCAGAAAGCAAAGGUUGACACAACAAGAGAAGAAGCAUUUGAUGGAGUAGCACAGGCAUUUGAGUUUGCAAUCAAUGGACAUAGCCAUGGAGAUUUAAUUGUAAAAUCAAAUGGAGCUGUUAACAACAGAGAUGAAUGGGAUGUCGGUUUUAAUCUUGAUGCAAGCCCUGUGGCCCAACAUGGUGUCGGAUCAAACUCUCAAAAUGGUCAGAAUGAUCUAGAUUAUGGCUUAAAUCCUUCUCCUAUUGAUCGGAAUGCCAAUAGUGAUGGACCUGUUUGGGAUUUCAAGGAUGCUUUUUCUGAUGCAUCAGACUAUAAGUUGGAAGAGUUGAAGCCUGUCAUCAUUCCUCCUAAUGGUGUAGAGGUGCUUGUUCCGAAUGGUAGUGUCGAUCUUUCUUUGUUCGCUCCUGGGAUUUCUGACAAAUCUAAUGAACAACAAAAAUUUGACUUAAGUUUCAACCUGAAUUGGGGGAAAGAAGACAAUAAUCUUUUGAAUGGAAAUCAGGAUGGCAACUUCCAUGAUACUGGGAGAGAUUUAAACAAUUCUCUAGCUAAUGAGAAUGAUGAUUUCAGUGAGAAUAUUUGGGAUUUCAAGUCUGCACUUUCAGAUUCUGGAUCAAACAAGAAGGGAGAGCCAGUUGAAUCUGUGGCUGGUCUUGAAGCACCUGCUUUUGAUUUUAGCUAUAGUAGUCAGAGGAAUUCAGAGUUAUUGUCCAGUCAUCGGAAGGCCUUGCCCUUGUCAAUUCUUGAAGAUGAAGAGCUGGAAACUGCGGAUGAUUUUACAAUGAAUCAAGAUGCUUCUACCUUUAUAUCUGUCACCAGUGAAGGACGUAAUAACAAGAAUCCUGGUUCUAAUGUAUCUAUCAAUGACAUGAUAUCAAGUCUAUAUAAUCAAGCUGAGAAAAAUGGUUCCAUCAAUUAUUCCCCUGAAGAAAAUGAAAAUGGAAUAAAUUUAUCAUCAAGGAUGUCACAUUCCGAUUUAGGCAAUGAUGAUGAUGAUUCCUGGGAAUUCAAGAAUGCGUCACCGAAUGUUGACGUGACCGAUCAAACUUACGUUACCAUUCUUGGAGAUUUACCCACGCCGUCAUCUACUAAGCUACAGUUUGAUUGUUACAUGGAUUUUUAUCACAAGUUAAAUCUUGUUUUGAACCAUGUUGUUCACGGCCUUCUUGGGAAUUUAGAGAAUGCCCAAAGUAAUACCUCUCUUUCUGGUGAAAAUGCAAAAUUAAGAGCCAUUUGUGAAGAAAUUCAGAAUUUCAGUGCCGAACUGUCCCAAGAGAAUUUCACGACUGAUAACUUCUCAUCAGAUGUUUUCCUUCCAAAAAAUGCUUUCAGUGAAAUCUUUGAAAUGUUGCGGGAUCCAAGGUUUCAGAUUUUUGAUGAAGAAUUCCAGUUGUCGGAAAGGUUACCAUUGGCAGAAUAUGAUUUGACAUCAGCUGUUGAGCUCUUGAAACACGCUGUGUCAACUCUGAAGAUUCUCAAACUUGUGUCAGUGGAGAAGCAAUCUAAUUAUGUUUCCAUAUGGAACAAAAUGAUGUUUAUUUGCUUUCAAGAACUAAAACAUGGUGCUUUGAUUUGGAACGAAUCCAUACAGAGGAAUGUUGAAAGUUACAUAUUAUCUGAACCUCAAGGAAAACGGUAUAUCUGCGCUCUUGGAGAGAUUUAUAGGGUAGUUCAAGUGCUUAGAGCCUCAGUUACACUUUACAAGCCAUGGAUACUGUUGGGUCAGGUUGAUCCCAGUGGCUUGAUUUCUCUUCUAAAUGAGUGCUCCAAUAUUUGGACGAGUUCAGGACUCGUUGAGGCUCUCUGCAAGAUUGAUGGUCCUAUUGAUUGCAAGGCAUUAUUGGAUUCCAUCAAUUUUAUUCAGAAUCUUGAUGAAUGGGGUCUGAGAAAGCAUGUUCUCUUCGGACAACAGCCUACUUGUAAUCUAUCACUCAUAAAUGCUGAAUCAAUUCCAGGCUUGCAUUUGGUGGUCUGGGAUGGGGAGAGCUACUUUUUGAAGCUUGCAAACUUGUGGGCAAAUCUAAUAGACCGUGAUCCUCCAUUCAUUCAGCACCCGAAUAAUAGGUGAUAAGAGGGUUGAGUUGAUUUGUAUGAUAGUCUGGAUGAUGUGGCUGUUGCUAUUUUCUCCAAACAAGGUUUCGUCAGCUUCCGUCCCAGAUGCUCGUCCGUGUCGAUGUUUAAUAGGAAACACUAGAUAAUUUCACUUCUUGAGAUGAAAGUAAGAAAGGAGAACACUUUCUGGGUUUUCAAGAUCCAAAUAAAUCCAUCUGGGUCCCUUGGGAACCAUUCUUUAGAAGAGCCGGUACAUAGCAAUUGAAGAUGUUUCAUAUUUGUAUCAUAUUGUGCCCAGAACUGGAUGGAUUCAGACCACUGCAUAGAUAGAUAGAAAUUUCCUUUUAUUCCUUCUGGUUCUUGUUUAGAUGUUAUAUUUCUAGUUCAAAAUCCCAGAAUCAGAGUGAGUUUGCACCAAGAUAUUGUCUUACUGCUGCAACGCCUCAGUUGAAUGGGUAUGCUCUGAAAAUCUUCCAUGUGUAGUGUAGCAUUUCAUUACUAAACAUUUUAGUCGAUUAACAACUCUUGCACAUGAUCAAGUCUAUUAAUAAGAGCUUGAUUGUUGAUUGUUGAAA
This is an RNA transcript of Cucurbita maxima (winter squash), 3449 nucleotides long. RefSeq lists it as uncharacterized. Lineage: Eukaryota; Viridiplantae; Streptophyta; Magnoliopsida; Cucurbitales; Cucurbitaceae. The record is from RefSeq and is a predicted model, not a curated record. The transcript is spliced from 11 exons.